UGGCAGAUCCAAGCUCUGAGAACUGAAUUCCAUGGACUGGUCCUACUAAAGCAUUUUCCGUCCAUAGUGGUCAGUUCUCCAGCUUGACUGCUGCUA
Pelobates cultripes (western spadefoot toad) is the source of this 96-nucleotide non-coding RNA. The record is from the annotation of a GenBank genome assembly. NCBI's taxonomy places the organism in Eukaryota, Metazoa, Chordata, Amphibia, Anura, Pelobatidae.